UACGGAGGGUGCGAGCGUUAUCCGGAUUCACUGGGUUUAAAGGGUGCGUAGGUGGGAAUGUAAGUCAGUGGUGAAAUCUCUGAGCUUAACUCAGAAACUGCCAUUGAUACUUAUGUUUCUUGAAUUUUUCUGGAGGUCAGCGGAAUAUGUCAUGUAGCGGUGAAAAUGCUUAGAUAUGACAUAGAACACCAAAUUGCGAAAGGCAGCUGGCUACAGGGGAUA
This 222-nucleotide ribosomal RNA is filed under the name uncultured bacterium. RNAcentral describes it as "partial 16S ribosomal RNA". It matches the Rfam family "Bacterial small subunit ribosomal RNA", at positions 524 to 739 of the family's 1533-position model. The record is from RNAcentral.